UGGAAGGGUCUCAUCCUGUUUUCCAGCUCCAUUCCAGGCAGCAUCCUCACGAUCCAAAGAACGGCAUAAGGGGCCCCUGUUUCCUGAGACCCAGUCAGAGCUCCUAUACUCUCCCACCUUGUUCCUCUGAGCUGACAAAUGACAUCGGAGAGGGCUCUAGGUUGGAAGGAAGACAAGGCAUUGCACUCACGUGAGGAGGAUUCAGUCUUGGUCCCUAGGGCGAUGGUGAUGAGGAGGAAGAAGGGAAUGGCAGCCACGGAGAUCUUCAUGCUGUGGGAAGCUGUUGUGGGAGGAGAGCUGGCCUGGUGGGAGCUUCAGAGGCUCCUGCGGUCCAGAAAGCAUUUCUGCAAGUUGGAAUAGGAAGUUAGAAGGUCCUUGAAGACUGUCUCGAAGAAUGAAGUAGUUACCAUGAAACCGAUGGUGUAAAUAUGCAAGUGCAAAUGUGGAAUGAUAAGGAAACAAAAAGUAUUUCUCUUUGGGUUAAUAGAAAAAUAUCAAAAGGAAAUUAUGAGAAAAAUAAGAAUUGUUAUGGGAUUAUAAUGGAUCAAAUGUUAAGUAAAGUAGAAAAUGGUGUGAACUGGGUAAAUGAUGGAGUAAAAGAAACUUUCUUGAAA
RNAcentral lists this long non-coding RNA (614 nucleotides) under Homo sapiens (human). Its description in RNAcentral is "HSALNT0239843". The record is from RNAcentral. Lineage: Eukaryota; Metazoa; Chordata; Mammalia; Primates; Hominidae.